GUUUCCUCCAAAGCACCAUCUUUGAAUUUCUGCUACAGGAGAGGUUGAAGCCCCAUCUCAGUUUUAAUUCUGUGUGUGACACAAAGUGAAUUCAACAUUUCUUGCAGUACUGAGACUCCUAGACAGAUGCUUUCACUCUGGUUUGGUAUGUAUAAUCAAAACAUCUUCUCUGCCAUAAACAGAAACCUAUUUG
This is a long non-coding RNA of Cuculus canorus (common cuckoo), 193 nucleotides long. RefSeq lists it as uncharacterized. The record is from RefSeq and is a predicted model, not a curated record. The transcript is spliced from 3 exons. Lineage: Eukaryota; Metazoa; Chordata; Aves; Cuculiformes; Cuculidae.